This 67-nucleotide transfer RNA is filed under the name Marmota monax (woodchuck). Its description in RNAcentral is "tRNA.Ala". The record is from RNAcentral. Lineage: Eukaryota; Metazoa; Chordata; Mammalia; Rodentia; Sciuridae.
GGUUGUAGCUCAGUGGUAGAGUGCUCGCCGCGCACAUGGAAGGCCCUGGAUUCAAUCCUCAGCACCA